Molecule: ribosomal RNA, 234 nt
Filed under: uncultured bacterium
Lineage: Bacteria
Description: partial 16S ribosomal RNA
Rfam family: Bacterial small subunit ribosomal RNA
Source: RNAcentral
AUCCGGAAUCAUUGGGUUUAAAGGGUACGUAGGCGGUUUAGUAAGUCAGAGGUGAAAGCCCAUCGCUCAACGGUGGAACGGCCAUUGAUACUGCUAGACUUGAAUUAUUAGGAAGUAACUAGAAUAUGUAGUGUAGCGGUGAAAUGCUUAGAGAUUACAUGGAAUACCAAUUGCGAAGGCAGGUUACUACUAAUGGAUUGACGCUGAUGGACGAAAGCGUGGGUAGCGAACAGG